Molecule: non-coding RNA, 72 nt
Organism: Ornithorhynchus anatinus (platypus)
Lineage: Eukaryota; Metazoa; Chordata; Mammalia; Monotremata; Ornithorhynchidae
Source: the annotation of a RefSeq genome assembly
GGAGAUAUAGCUCAGUAGUAGAGUGCACGCUUUUCAUGUGUGAGGUCCCGGGUUCAAUCCCCGGCAUCUCCA